This 73-nucleotide transfer RNA is filed under the name Methylibium petroleiphilum PM1. It matches the Rfam family "tRNA". Rfam says of the family: Transfer RNA (tRNA) molecules are approximately 80 nucleotides in length. The record is from Rfam by way of RNAcentral. Lineage: Bacteria; Pseudomonadati; Pseudomonadota; Betaproteobacteria; Burkholderiales; Sphaerotilaceae.
GGGGGUGUAGUUCAGUUGGCAGAACACCCGCUUUGCAAGCGGGAUGUCGCAGGUUCGAUGCCUGUCACCUCCA